This 88-nucleotide small nuclear RNA is filed under the name Microcebus murinus (gray mouse lemur). Lineage: Eukaryota; Metazoa; Chordata; Mammalia; Primates; Cheirogaleidae. The record is from RNAcentral.
GUGUUGUAUGAAAGGAGAGAAGGUUAGCACCCCCCCUUGACAAGGAUGAAGAGGCUCUCGGGCCUGCACAACAACAGAAAACCACUGC